This 8448-nucleotide long non-coding RNA is filed under the name Homo sapiens (human). Its description in RNAcentral is "non-protein coding LINC01940:12". The record is from RNAcentral. Lineage: Eukaryota; Metazoa; Chordata; Mammalia; Primates; Hominidae.
AGCACUCCAAUCUCUGCCUUCUGCUCUGUCUUCACACGGCCUUCCCUCUGUGUCUCUGUGUCCUCUUCUCCUCUUAUAAGGACAACAGUGAUGAGAUUUGAGGCCUACCCCGCAUGCAGAUAAUCUGAUCUCAAGAUUAUCACCUUAAUUACAUCUGUAAAGACCUUAUUCCUAAAUAAAGUUGCCCUCUGAGUUCUGAGUGGACAUGAAUUUGCAGGGCAGGCUACUCUUCAACCCACUAUGCAGUGAGAAUGGGCUGUGCAGAGGCCGCCCACACCUGGCAGGGGUCAAGGUGAGCCCUCGGUCGCCACGUUCCCUGGGACUCCCAGGAUGGCAAGCCUGGCAGCAGUUCCUGUUUUCUUUGGUGUCAUUGGAAAUGCUACUGUUUGGAUGUAGUUUGUUGGGAUGCCAAUAUAUCAAGAAAGGCUUCCUUGUUCUCCCUCCUGAAAUUCUGCACACACGACUGUUUUUAGCAACAGUGAUGUGAUCUCUAUUUUUGGUGGCAGUUUUGAGCACCCUGUCCGUUGGAACUUUUUGUGUUGUAAACAGACAGGAGAUCCAGCCCAAAUGGAGGUAAGUAAUAAGGACCAUGCACUCACCUCGGUGGAGAGGCCACGGGUUCGGAGACCUUCAGGAGAAGUUUGAUCCAGCCGCUCAGUGAUGCAGCAGGGACCGAGAGCCCUUGGGUGCCCUGCUCCCUCCACAUUCCCAGGGGCUCCUCAUGCUGCCCUGGCAGCUCUGCAGAAGGCCUCCCUGAAGAAAGGCAGCUGGUCCCAGCUAGAGUCCCAGGGUUCAUGCUGGCUGAGCCCCCUUCUUGUUUCUUCCCCAACCCAGAGCUAUUCUCACCUCCCCUGAAGGCCUUCCCAGGUGAUGGGGGCCAUGGAGACUGCAUUGGACAGCUCUGUGCACUGUCCAUGAAGCACUUGCUGCAGGACUCCCUUAGAAACGUGAGGCUUUAAACACCUUGGGACCCCAGGAGGAGGCAUGUGUCCAGCUAGCGGUGCCCCUCUGUGGUGUGGAGAACGUUCUACUCAGACGUUCCUGAGUGGGAACUUGGCAGCACAACUGGGAAACCUGUUGCUUCCAGCCCCGCGGGCCUGUAGACCCCCCACCAGAGAUGGGCCCUCCUGCCAGGCUUCCUACCUUGUGCAACUUAGCCUCCUGCUGCACCCCAUCCACCAGCUCUGCCAGCACGAGAGGUCAUCCCACACGCUCCUGCUUCCAGGCCACCAGCUGUCCCCCAUGGCCCCCAUCUCCCCUGUACCCUCUGGACUUUGCAGAGACCCCUCUGCUCUCCUUGGGGUUACAGAGCUCUGCAUCUGUCUCCUCCCCUCCCCUGCAGCUGCUCCCAAUCCUGCACCCCACACAGAGCCUGGGGCUCCACACUCCUUCACCACUGACCACACCUGCCAGGUGCUGCCUGCAUCUCAACUCAGGCCACCUGCUCCCGCCCUCCAUGUUGGGUUCAUGCAGCGAUUCUCCCAGGCCACUCUGUGUCUCCCUCUGCUCCAGCAUCCUGCUGCCUAGGCGGCCGUGCCACUGCAGCCCUUGCUCCAGAGUACCUGCCUGGAAACCUUGCCCCGGCUCCCCAAAUGCACCUCCCUUCCCACAGGACAUCCAUUCAAGGCCACAUCCAAACCUCCAAAUGCCUCCUGAACACUUCACCUAGAGGCCUCACCUGCCUGGUGGCUCACGGAGGCUGGCGCCAUCGCCUCCCCCCGCCACAGCCAGACUGGUCUGCUCCCCCUCCUCUUCACGUCCCCUCUUGGUGAUCACCUGCUCCCCCAUUUCCCACCUCAAGCAGUCUCACCCUCCUCUGUGCCCCGCCCCUGGCUCCUACCUACGCAAGGUGGCAGCCUCUGGCCACCCUGCACGCCCAGCCAUGCAGAGCCUGGGAAACGACAGGACAUGUGGCUGUCCUUUCACGGCCCCUGUCACCUCCCCCAAAUCCAGCCAGGGCUGAGACGCCCCACACUGUGGCCCCCGGCAUAAGGCCUUGAUCCUUCCUGAGGGCAGGAUGGGGGCAGUUUUGUUCUGUGAAGUUCCUUGGCCUUGAGCUUAGCUGGACCCCGCUCCCGGAAAGCCCGAGAAACAGACGUUCCUCUGUGAAAGCCCCUUCUGAGCACCUGCAAGGAGCACUCUGCCAUCCCACUCCUGGUUCAGGCUUUCAUCCGCGUGGAGGGCCUUGUCUUCUGUGAGUCCCCGCCUCAGCCUCACCUGGCUCCUAGGAGGCUCUGGGAAGGUUAGCUGGGCUGUUCCCCAAACAAGGGGCCACAGGAAGGUGGGGGCUCCUGAGGGUCUGGGAGGCAGGGGAGACUAUGUGUGCCCUUUCUCUUCCGCACCUGAAACCUGACUUUCCCUCACUGGAGACCUGAGGAUGGAGUGCAGUGGCUUAGCUAAGCUUCUGUUAACAGCAUGCUCACUGUUUUGAAACAGAAAUGAAAGAACAUUUGGGAGUUGGGGUAUGUGCAGAGAAAACAUUUUCCUUGAAUGUCUUUACUGAAUGGGUGGGAAUAGGUAUGUGUGAAGGGGAAAAGUUCAGGGUACAGUGGUCAGGUCCUUGGGAGAUGUCGGGGAGGGCCGUCUGGCCCAGCUCCUGAGGAGGGUGGGCCCAGGCUCAUCCUAUACGCACUAGUCCUGACGCCUCACAAUUAAUCAAAUGGCUAAAAACAAACACAAAAGAAGCCCUCAGCAUUGUGUUACCAGGGCAGCGGUGUGAUGUCAUCUGUUCAUUCCAAGCUGUCACCCCGAAGCUGAGUGAACUCCGCAAAGCGUCUUCUGUGUACCUGGGAGGAGCAUGGUGCCAUUUCCCUUCCUCCUUCAGACUUUCUUCUACAUGGAAGGCCCCGUCCUCCACAGGUCCCAGCCUCAGCUGACACUCGGGUCCCAGGAGGCUCUGCGAAGGUUUGCUGGGCGGUUCCCCCGCACGCCGGGCUACAACAAAGGAACACAGCAUGACACGUGCUGUGAACCUCAGCUGUGAGACAACCGAAGGAGAGACAACAUUCAGCAAAAACAGAGCCCAAACUGUCCCCGUUUCUCUCAGCCCCAACUGCUCCAUGGCUUGGAGUGCAGCAAAUGUUUCAGCCGCGCUCAAAGGGAAGGCUUUGCUCUGGAGUCAGCAUGCAGAGCUCGCCUCGACUCCCCUCCAUGCCGCUCCUCACCAGCACUGGCUGGGUUUGAAUCUCAGCUCCCUGGCUCCUCGCUGUAAGCCCUGGAAUGCAAACCCCAAGGGCCAAACACCCCGAGGCUCUCAGGUCCCAGGCGCGGACACCUUCCUGGCCUUGGCUGUCAUGGCCCAGAUGGAAGCAAAGACAACUCCCCUCUCCACAGGUCGGCUGGUCCUCCUGCCCCGAGAGCAGGAGCCCAGGCACAGGCUCUGUACAGAGUUCUCCAUCUACUUCUCCCAGGGUGGCUAUGCAAAGGCCGUCUGCCUCUCGCUCUCUGGGUCCCACCUGCAGCCUGUCCCAGUGGAUUCUGUAGGCUCCACAGUGAUGCUGGGAAAAGACCCAAACACCCGGACAAAGCACGUGGACAGCUGCCAAUGCCAAAACGGCAGGAAGCAAGGGAAAGGCAGCUGGCUCCGACCCUUUGCCAACCGUGUGCAACGCUGCAGGCACCUAGAGCCAGCGAGGAGCUACCAAACUGGUUCCCAUCUAUGCUUGCAGCGGCUGCUGUCGCAGAGGCAGGACAGGGGUGCAUGGCUAUGCCAAGUAUCCUUCUGGGAUGAGCCGAUUCUCUUGUCCCAGGUCGGGCAUGAUGGAGAGGCCAGAAGGUGUGUUUGAAUAGCAGGCAUUGGGGGUUUGCAAAGGGCUGUGAUUUCCUGGGCCUCCCGUCUUAGGCAGGCUCUGGGUUCUCCUUGGUUCUUCCCUUGGAGCAGGGACCUGGCUUUGGAUGACCAUGGAUCUUUCCUGGUUUCUGCUGUUAUCUUGCUGUGUGACCGAGGUCAAGUCCACACUCCCUUCCCAAGCUUGUUUUCUCUGCAGUAAAACUGCCAUUUGGAACUGAACCCUUCAAGGGGAGGCGGCUGAAACAGUGGGGGUGAUGCUGGGUGCUAAGCCCUACCCCUUCUCCUAAAUACCUACUUCUCUCCUUUUUUUUCCUUUUUUACCUAUUAAUGGGUUAGACAGCCAAAAACCCUCUCUGAAAGAGUGUCCUGGCCCAAGUCCGCCUGGGGCACUGUUGUGAGCCUCAAUUUCUACGGAUCUAUGCCUGGAAAGCUUUUAGCAUAAAACGUUUUAGGUAGAAGACCGGGAUCACGGAACAGGAUCAGGACCCCAGAACAGGACCGAGACCAUGAAACAGGAAGCAAGCUACAUCCAGCACCCAGUUCAGAGAGAGGGCUGGGGACGCCGACACUCCACCUCCUUCCCAGCAAACUCGGAAGGCUCCAGGGCAUCCCUGGAGCUGCUCUGGCAGAGAAGAAUCAGUGUCCACACGUGCAGCUCUCGCUCGAGGAAGGGCAGGGGCGACAUCAGAGGCAUGCUUUGCACAGCACACGCUUCUAGAAUGGCUGGGAUUUCAACCUUGAAAGUCUCAACUCCUUCUUCCUCCUCAGAUCUUGGGAUUUUGAAAGUGAUUCCUAAAUGCCUUUCGAUCUCAUUUUUGCCGAAGGAGAUGGUCCUAAUUUACUGCAUUCCAAUUGGAAACAUUUUUGAGAGUAAAAAUACCUGAAGACAUGUUGGGCCUGGAGGUAGCAGACUCAAAAUUAAAGCAGGGGCCCCUCUAUCCACCGCCCCCCAGAUUGCAUUAAACACAGCAUGUUGGGGAUCAGUGAGUUGCCAUGGCCCUGCAAUCAGACAUUUUGCCCUCUGAAAUUUAGCCUUGAUUUUGAAGCCCUGAGUUUAGUAUAUUUAGAUGAGCUGACGGGCCCAGGGAGUCACUCAGAAAGGGUAGAGGUCCUUCAGAGCUGCGUUAAGAUACAGUGGGAGGGGGUCAAAUUGCUAAUUUCAUCUGCCACUGAAAACUCCCAAACAGCAGAGAACUUCCCAGAAGACUUGUGAAGUUGGGAGUCUGCAGGUGGCGGGGGUUGGGUGGGGAGGUGAUGGCAUUCUACCCCUAAGAGAGCAUUUUGAAGUUGAAGCUCAACUUAAAAUAUUUGUGCCUAUUUUUGAGACAGGGUCUUGCUCUGUCACCCAGGCUGGAGUGCAAUGGCACCAUCUCAGCUCACUGCAGCCUCGACCUCCCAGGCUUGAGCAAUCCUCUCACCUCAGCCUCCUGAGUAGCUGGGACUACAGGCAUGCACCACCACACUUGGCUAAUGUGUGUAUGUGUGUGUGUGUUUGUAGAAAUGGGGUUUUGCCCUGUUGCCCAGGCUGGUCUCAAACUCCCGAACUCAAGCCACCUGCUCUCCUCGGCCUCCCAAAGUGUUGGGAUUACAGAUGUGCAUCAUCGUGCCCAGCCACAUUAUGCUUUUUAGAGGGACAUCACCAAUCAGACAGUGGCCUGGGCUGGACACAGCAUCCCUGGAAGACGGCCCCUCUCUAAGGUGUCAUCUGCCAUUAGCCAAGGACCCUCUUGUCUCUCUAGCUCCAAGUCUCCACAGAGGAUGUGCUCAAAAGUGAGUGUGUGUGGCCUUGCCCCCCACUUCUCCUGCCUGCAGGUGGGGAGGGAAGCAGGUGGCAGGAGGAGGUGGCUGUCUGGGGCUGCCCUCCUCUGUACCUGUGCGUGAUUUUACUCUAUGCUGAGUGCCAGCAGGGAGGAUGGGAAACAACAUUUCUGUCUGGUUAUCAAAUGAUCGCCAUCAUUGGCCUCAUGGCAUCACCACUGUCUUCAUUGCUGGCACCUUCCCGUCCUCCCUCCAGCCAGGGAAGUCUGACCCAGGCACAGGUGACAGGAAGUGUCACUCUGCCUUAGGGGUCUGCAAUCUUGGGAUGUCAAACAGGCCCCACGGUGCCUUGCACCCCUGGUCUCACACUCUGUAUCAUUUUCUGUACUGUUCAUGUGGUUCUCAAAGCAGGCGUGGCCAGGGAGUGGGACAGCUUUGUGUCCGUGUCUUGGAGCUGCUGCAAAGAGGCCCCGAGGGCCGGGGGCUCAGGCCACAGAAACGGAUCUUGUCCCGGCAGUGGGGGCUGAAGCCUGAGAUCACAGUGUGGGCGGGGCUGGGUCCUUCUCAGGCUGUGUGGGGGGUUCUGUCCCAGGCCUCUCUCCUGGGAGUGCAGGCACUGGCUCCGCCCAUGUCCUUCACCUCCCCUUCCCUCUAAUUGUGUCUGCCUCUGUCACCACAUCUCCUCUUUAUGAGGACAUUGGCCCUAUUGGAUCAGUGCCCUCUCUAAUGACCUCAAUUUAAAUCAGUGACCUCUGUGGAGACCCUCUCUCCAGAUAAAGCCUCCUUCAGAUAAAGCCUCUUGCGGAUAAAGCCUAAAGCACUGGUGGUCAGGACUUCAACGUGUGAAUUCCAGGAGGACACACUUCAGCCCAUUACAGACCUGAUGGCUUCUGCCAGACACCCAGCCGAUCCCCAUGGCUUAUGGAGGAAGAAGACAAGUGGAGACGGGGAGGUGGUCGGGCGACCCUUUCCACGGCCAGCAGCAACUGCACCCGUGUCUGGGCACCUCCUGAGUGCUGUAAGCCCCCAUGCAUCAUCAAGACGGAGGCCCAGGCAAGGGCAGGUGGGAGCUGAAACCCGUCUCAGGAGGUGGAUAUUUUUAUCAUUGGGUGUUUGUAUUUUUCUUAUUAUAAGAGCCUUCGUCUUUUUCUUCUUGCACGUCAUUUAUUGCUUGCUUUUAUUCUUAUCUGGUUGUUUUCUGUGUGGGUUACAGAUCCCCAAGCCACCUUCCCUUGGUCCCAGCCCAGAUUGUGGCUCCCCUGUGUGCCUCCCAGGCCCCAGGAUAGACGUCAACCGUGUCCCCUUGUGGGUGCCUUGAGCUUAGCACCUGCCUGUCCCUUCCAGGGGCCCCUCUAAUACAGGACUUACAUCUUCAUGAAGACACUAACUGUACUAGUGCGUGUUCUCCAGAGGAGCAGAGCCACUCAAGGUGUGCACAUCAGAAGAGAGCUAUUUUAAGGAACUGGCUGACGCUGGCAAGUUCAAACUCUGCAGGGUGGGCCGGCAGGCUGGAGACCUGGGAAGGAGCUCAUGUCACAGUUCGAGGCCUAAGGCAGUCUGGGGGUGGAAUUCCUUCUUGCUCAAGGCUGGUCAAUCUCUUUGUUCUAGUCAGGCCUUCAACUGAUUGGGUGAGGCCCACCCCUUUUGACGAGAGCCACCUGCUUUACUCGAAGGCUAAUCUCAUCUAGAAACACCUUUACAGGUGCAUCCAGAGUAAUGUUUGACGAGCUAUCUUAGCACCGUGGUCCAGCCAAGCUGACUAUAGAAUUAAUCAUCACACCGUCUAAUGCCAAAAUAAUUCAAAUCUUUUUUUAAGUGAAAACAAGUUUAUUAAGAAAGUAAAGGAAUAAAAGAAUAGCUACUCCAUAGGCAGAGCAGCCCCAAUAAUUCAAAUCUUUACUGAAGUCCCAAGAGGCUUGUGGGAGGAAGGUGUACUCCGAACGCACAGCAAAAUCUUAACAUUUCUCUCUCCCUGGCCACUCUCCACAUUGCUUGCUAUGACUCCCCUGAAACUGCUCCCCUCAUUCUCAGCCUUGAACCCAGAAAUACCCCAGCCCCCAGCACUCCUGCACUUCCUUCCGCCUCCCACUUUGUUCCUGUCCUGUCCUUCCUUCUCCUCCGCAGAUGACUCCCAGCCACUUCCAGUCCUCACCCUGUCCCAACUUCUCCACCUUUGUCUCUCCACCAGCCCUGAGGCCUCACCAUGCAAGUCCAGGCACUGAGCCAGCAAAGGCAGAAUCCACCGCCCCCAGCACCACCGUCCAAAGUGGAGAUGAUGUCAGCAAAGGGGAUAUUGAAGCAGAUGGAGUGGUACAGAUGGUGGGUCACUAAAACGCAGGUUGAAGGCUUUUCACAUCAAGUCAUGCCUGUGCCCACAGACAGGGGAGGAGGUGGCAUGAGGCUCCAAGCUCUGGAGCCUUGGAAGUCAGGCAGGCCCCACUGGAAUCACAGCCCCCUACUCCCAGGCACACCUAAGGAGUCAGUCUCUCCUGACCGAUGGAUCCAACUUCACAGCUGCGACUGAGCACCAGGGGGACGUGGCGCUGGGAAAUUGUCCCGGCAGACGAGACUGAACCCUAGAAGGGCCCCAUGGUAAAACUGAUAAAGCCUGAAAUGUGUGUGCAGACAUGGGCCUCUUUAUUACCACACAACGACCAUUAAAAUCUCUCUGCUAUGGUGUAAUUAUUUUCCAUAAAUUAUUGGGGUACUGGUGGUAUCUGGUUACAUGAGUACGUUCUUUAGUGGUGAUUUGUGAGAUCUUGGUGCACCCAUCACCUGAGCAGUAUACACUGCACCAUAUUUGUAGUCUUCUAAUCCCUCACUGCCCCCACUCUUCCCCCCAAAUCCCCAAAGUCCAUUGUAUUGUUCUUAUGCCUUUGAGUCCUCAUAGCUUAGCCCCC